UCCGUGGACAAUUUAGAGUUCCCGCCUGAAUUUCAUGGACAUUAUGGGAUUCAUGGACAUCGUCAUGUCCACGAAUUUAUUUCUGUAGUUUCGCUUCGCUCCGUGGACAAUGGUUUGCAUGACGUAUGGACAGACUUUUCAUGGACAUGAUGUCGUGUCCAUAAAUUCACACCUAUUUUAGCCCGCUCAAAGAUGUCAUAGCUUUUUUUAACACCACGUGGCGCCCCAAUCGACCGAGUAUGUUACUCUGCCUCUGAUUGGUCAGCUUGUGCAAGGUCGUUUUUGAUUGGUUGUUGAAGUCGUGUCCACGCAGUGCUCUUGUUCUGCUAACUUUGUCCAUGCAAUGUUAGGAAUAUUUACAAAUUUUGUGACGUCAUAGCAGACAGCUGGCUUAUUGUUCGCGAAACGACAUGUGGGAGACGUUGAGACGACGCCGGCCAUGCGCCAUUUCAAUUUCAGUUAUUGUGCAAGGCCGAGUUUCUUAGUGUUUUUUGACACAGCAUUGGUGUAUGUUGAAGUCGGCAUUUUCGCUGGAGUGAAGAUUAGUGAGUUUUGAUUUCGUUGGAGAGGAAUAUGAAAAGAAAGGUCUCGACGUGGCUCAACUUUGGAGCCAGCGUGUUGGGUCCCGGCUUCCCGCCAUUCACCGGCGGACCGUUCCGCUUCGUGGACCGCAUCGGCCCCGCACAGCUGGUCAAGGGCAUUAAGCGCUUUGUCGCUGUCUACAGCGUCGGAUUCGAGCUGGUCGGGCACAAGUCGCGCUCUCCACGUGACCGAGCCCGCCCUUAGGCGACCGAUGCCCGCCAACCGGCCGCCGCGCGGACGGAGGUGACGCUGCCGGCCAUCGAGCGGCUCAUCGAGGCGGGCAACGCUCGGAUCAUCGAGACACUGGAAAAGAGACUCGCCCAGCAGGAGCGGAGAAUAGAGAUCCUCGAGGCAGAAUGUCAGGAGACAGAUGUCAUGAUGAUCCGCCGGGAAAUGACAUCCCAGAAAGAGGAGACCAGGGAGCUUAAGGAAAAGGUCGACGGAAUCAACAGAAACCGGCGCAUGUCCUCACUUAUCAUCACGUGUGAGGAAUUCGGUGACAGGAAGCCCGGGGAGGACAUUGAGCUCAUGACGGUGCAAGCGCUCAACAAGCGUUUCCCUGACUUGAAAUUAACGACAGGUGACAUCCAGGUCGCCCAUCGUCUUCAGGGGAAUGGUAAAGUGAUCGCCAAGUUUGUCAAACGGACAGUGAGGGACGAACUGUUUGAGCAACGGUUCGAGCUGGCCGGACGGAGGGGCGGUGCCCGACCGGGCAGGUGGAGUGCGUCAGGUGGCUGGGAGAUGGAAGCACUUUACCUCAGCGAGUCUCUGACACCCGAGUCCCAGCGCAUGUACAAUCUGCUACUCACUGCGCGUAAACAAGAAUGAGGAUCCAAGGUGGCAUCAGUUUUUACCAGGAGAGGCUACGUUUACUGCAGGAAGGUGAAAGGCGGCGAGAACAUCCGGAUACAGGACUGGUGUCACCUUCAGCGCAUCGUGCACACUGCAUAGCAGUCCGGGUGGGUCGCCGGUGGCGGCGGAGGCGGCUGGCGCGCCGGGCGGCGGGCGGCCGGGCGGCCCGCCCGCCCGGGAUCGGGCGGUGCCGCGCGGUUCCCGGCCUGCCCGUGAGGAGCGGAGCGCCGCCCGGCCGGGACCGGCGCCGCCGCUCUCCCCGGGCGGAGCUGCGGGGGAGCCGAGCCGGCGCACGGUAGCUGCUGGUGCACCUGCACCGGGUACAGGGCCGGAGGCGAGCAGCAGUGAUCCGGUAGGUGCGACACGUGACCGAUGUACGGCCGAGCGGACGGGUCGGGCGGGGGCGGGGCCGAGCUCGGUCGGGGGCUCCGGCUCCGGCUCCGGCUCCGGCUCUGGCUCUGGCCCUGGGCCGGCUCUGGACACUGUCCGGGACGACUGUCAGAGCUGUCCCCCGCUGAGCCGAGUAGAGUCUGGCUGUGAUCCCCUCGCCACGGGGUGAAUUUGAAUGUAUCGGGAAGUAUUCACUCUAGAGAGGGGGCGAGUACACUCAUGUCCGUUCGCUGUGUGAUAAAUGACGGCACUUCAGGUGCGUUCCUUGUCUGGCGGGGAGGUGUGCGGGAUAACCGUGAGGUUUUGGGGCAGGGUUGAUUAGUGUCACUUAUAAGUGGGAUAAGGGUGGCAAAAUCGGCUGAGUGGGGAAGAAAGACUAUGAUCAGGGAUUUGCCCUUACAUGAUAAAUAAGUGAGAAAGUGCAUUUAAAGUUAUUACACGAAUGAAAGUUUUGAACACCGUGCAAUGUGCAUUGUUAGUAGAAGUUUUCUCUUUCUUUUUCUCUUUCUGUUGCCGGCUACUCGUGCGGUCGGCUUGAACUGAUUAAAGGUAUGCACUUUCAUUACAGCUAUUCAAGCCAGCAUAAAGUGUCCCGGAGAAUCGAGAUGGUAACGAGAAUCGAGUUGGUAACGUUGAUCGCCUUAGGAAAUGACCAGUGGCUCAUGCAGGUACCGGUAAAUGUCUAUUAUCAUUUGAUUGUUCACCUGGAGAACGGUGACGUGUCACCCCGCAGACACUUGAUGAUGUGGGAAGCUUGAGAGAGCAGCGGUCUCGCCGCUUGCCGCCCGUGGCCCGCCCUUUGUGUGGCCCACAUGUGAUACUACCGAAAGGGUAUGCAUGGGAAGCAGCUCCGCGUGUGUGCCAGUGCUAUGCGUAUUCAGAGAAAAAUAUAUAUUCUGGGUGGUCAA
Molecule: unclassified non-coding RNA, 2732 nt
Filed under: Amphibalanus amphitrite
Lineage: Eukaryota; Metazoa; Arthropoda; Thecostraca; Balanomorpha; Balanidae
Description: uncharacterized LOC122394566, transcript variant X2
Source: RNAcentral